UAACGACAUCAUUGUGACUAGGUGGAGGCCUGAUAACGAGGCUACUAGUACUUCUUCUAUCGUGUCCAAUAAACAAAAGCACUCAACCUUCAAGAAAUGGGAAUUUCAACUACCUCACAUUUUUGUCUACGUUGCAUACGUUGGGUGCUUCGGCACUUGUGCAGCAGGCUCGGCAGUCAUCAUGAUCUACGGGCAGCAAUUUGGAAUAACGAAGGCAAUGCAAUGGGUAGCAACCAUGUUCUUGUCGUUUUUUGAGUCAGUUCUCUUCUUCGAACCUCUCAAGGUUCUUCUUUUCGCCGCAUUUGUAGCGCUGCUUAUAAAACCGAAAAGUGCUACAGAAGACAACGUUGUGUAUAACGCCAAAGUGAAGCAAGUUGAAGGAACCGAG
This is a long non-coding RNA of Corticium candelabrum, 388 nucleotides long. RefSeq lists it as uncharacterized. The transcript is spliced from 4 exons. The record is from RefSeq and is a predicted model, not a curated record. NCBI's taxonomy places the organism in Eukaryota, Metazoa, Porifera, Homoscleromorpha, Homosclerophorida, Plakinidae.